RNAcentral lists this ribosomal RNA (468 nucleotides) under uncultured bacterium. Its description in RNAcentral is "partial 16S ribosomal RNA". It matches the Rfam family "Bacterial small subunit ribosomal RNA", at positions 28 to 507 of the family's 1533-position model. The record is from RNAcentral.
GACGAACGCUGGCGGCGUGCUUAACACAUGCAAGUCGAACGGAAAGGCCCUGCUUUUGUGGGGUGCUCGAGUGGCGAACGGGUGAGUAACACGUGAGUAACCUGCCCUUGACUUUGGGAUAACUUCAGGAAACUGGGGCUAAUACCGGAUAGGAGCUCCUGCUGCAUGGUGGGGGUUGGAAAGUUUCGGCGGUUGGGGAUGGACUCGCGGCUUAUCAGCUUGUUGGUGGGGUAGUGGCUUACCAAGGCUUUGACGGGUAGCCGGCCUGAGAGGGUGACCGGCGACAUUGGGACUGAGAUACGGCCCAGACUCCAACGGGAGGCAGCGGUGGAGAGUAUUACACAAUGGGCGGAAGCCUGAUGCAACAACGCCGGGUGCGGGAUGACGGCCAUCGGGUUGUAAACCGCUUUCGCCUGUGACGAAGCGUGAGUGACGGUAAUAGGUGAAGAAGCACCGGCUAACUACGUG